AAAUCUGGCAGGGUUUACAGACUUCAUGGGCGGGAGAGAUAAGAAAACCUCAGGAGCUGACAACCAUCCACUCAUUGGGCACUUACGAUAAAACGUUUGGAAGAGAGAGAAUACCCAUGUGAUCAACACUUGUAUGAGGUACAGCUCCAAAGGAGGUGGUCAGCUUUCCAUAACAGUUCCCAUCUGUUGACUACAUGCCAAGUAUCACACUGCAUACCUGACAGGAAGCAGAUUUCUCUUACUAAGAAGAAGGCAUUCAGCCAUGGCAUCUGUGAUCAUGUGACUUUGGCGCCGGCCCAGACGAUGGAAGGGAUGCGUGUUGGGAAGAACCAUUUUGAGGACAUGCCUGAGGUGGUGCAGUUGGUAAAGAAUCUGCCUGACAGUG
Long non-coding RNA from Cervus elaphus (red deer), 385 nucleotides. RefSeq lists it as uncharacterized. The record is from RefSeq and is a predicted model, not a curated record. The transcript has 4 exons. NCBI's taxonomy places the organism in Eukaryota, Metazoa, Chordata, Mammalia, Artiodactyla, Cervidae.